Long non-coding RNA from Acanthochromis polyacanthus (spiny chromis), 1759 nucleotides. RefSeq lists it as uncharacterized. The transcript has 3 exons. The record is from RefSeq and is a predicted model, not a curated record. NCBI's taxonomy places the organism in Eukaryota, Metazoa, Chordata, Actinopteri, Pomacentridae.
AAAUGAGUUCUUGAGAGUCAGUGAGUUUCUCUUUCUGAUGAUUCAGAUUUUUAUCUUUAAGCUGUAAGAACAGCUCAAAUAGCCCAUGGAAGAACUAGCAGAACAUUUCAAUCAGAUUUAACACAUCUACAGCAUUGGAAGUUAAAUCUUCUAAAUCUGACUCUUGGUUUGUCGGCUGCAGCUUCUGGGUUCUCUGGAUUUGGAAAUGUGGAUGUUGUGGUGAUGAAAGAGGGGGUGGAGGAGGUCUAAGGAGGCUUUAACCGUCUCUGAUCUUCUUCUUCUUCUUCUUCAAGACCUCAGAUCAGAAAACAUCCAAACUGACAAAUAAAUGUUCUGCCUGACUAAGACCAGAACUUAAAGUUGUCCAGAAAGAGUCAGACGGGUCUGUUAAAGGUUCUACUAUCAGGUUUGUUAGAGGUUCUACUGUCUGGUCUGUUAGAGGUUCUACUAUCUGGUCUGAUAGAGGUUCUACUAUCUGGUCUGUUAGAGGUUCUACUGUCUGGUCUGUUAGAGGUUCUACUAUCUGGUCUGUUAGAGGUUCUACUAUCUGGUCUGAUAGAGGUUCUACUAUCUGGUCUGUUAGAGGUUCUACUGUCUGGUCUGUUAGAGGUUCUACUAUCUGGUCUGUUAGAGGUUCUACUAUCUGGUCUGAUAGAGGUUCUACUAUCUGGUCUGAUAGAGGUUCUACUAUCUGGUCUGUUAGAGGUUCUACUGUCUGGUCUGUUAGAGGUUCUACUGUCUGGUCUGUUAGAGGUUCUGCUAUCUGGUCUGUUAGAGGUUCUACUAUCUGGUCUGUUAGAGGUUCUACUAUCUGGUCUGAUAGAGGUUCUACUAUCUGGUCUGUUAGAGGUUCUACUAUCUGGUCUGUUAGAGGUUCUGCUAUCUGGUCUGUUAGAGGUUCUACUAUCUGGUCUGAUAGAGGUUCUACUAUCUGGUCUGUUAGAGGUUCUACUAUCUGGUCUGUUAGAGGUUCUACUGUCUGGUCUGUUAGAGGUUCUGCUGUCUGGUCUGUUAGAGGUUCUGCUAUCUGGUCUGAUAGAGGUUCUACUAUCUGGUCUGUUAGAGGUUCUACUAUCUGGUCUGUUAGAGGUUCUACUAUCUGGUCUGUUAGAGGUUCUACUGUCUGGUCUGUUAGAGGUUCUUCUAUCUGGUCUGAUAGAGGUUCUUCAGAGGAACAUCUUCAGUGAUAAACAUCCUUCAGUAGAACUCUAUCUCCUGGUGUUCUGAUGUUCUCUGUUCUCUGUCUUCAUAUCCUGAUAAACGGAGUCCCAGUCAUGUUUCACUUUGGUGUAGUUCCUGUGACCAGCCAGCAGAUGGCGGCGCUGCUCUGUGAUUGGACGCUGCUGAGUAUCAUUAUACCUCCAGACUGAAGCUUCGAUUCCUUGGUGUCCUGGUGGUUCUAGCUGCUGACGGUCAGGUGUUUCUGGAUGAAGACGUUAGAGGAGCAGCAGGAUUUCUGUAGUUUUUCCCUCCAGAGCAGCAGCUUUGGUCUGACAGCGGCGUGUUGUGGGAAGAUAGCGGGCGGCUUCUUCACACAAAGAUGCUGCUGGCAGCCGGCCGCCGCUCUGCUCCUCCUUGGAGCUGUCGCCCCACGUUAGUCACACCGCAGGAGAUAGACGGGCCUCCAGAUCGAGGCCACAAAAGGCCGAGAACCUCUGAGAACCGCUGAGAACCUCCUCAGGGACAGACGAGACGGGAUCCAUUAGAACGGCAUUAAAGGGGAGAACGUUCACAGAUUUAUCUGUGUUAUUUCACUGAA